RNAcentral lists this ribosomal RNA (250 nucleotides) under uncultured bacterium. RNAcentral's name for it is "partial 16S ribosomal RNA". It matches the Rfam family "Bacterial small subunit ribosomal RNA", at positions 524 to 776 of the family's 1533-position model. The record is from RNAcentral.
UACGAAGGGGCUAGCGUUGCUCGGAAUCACUGGGCGUAAAGCGCACGUAGGCGGCUUUUAAGUCAGGGGUGAAAUCCUGGAGCUCAACUCCAGAACUGCCUUUGAUACUGAGAGCUUGAGUCCGGGAGAGGUGAGUGGAACUGCGAGUGUAGAGGUGAAAUUCGUAGAUAUUCGCAAGAACACCAGUGGCGAAGGCGGCUCACUGGCCCGGUACUGACGCUGAGGUGCGAAAGCGUGGGGAGCGAACAGG